GACGUAGGGGGCGAGCGUUAUUCGGAAUUAUUGGGCGUAAAGAGCUCGUAGGCGGUCUGUCGCGUCGGCUGUGAAAACCUGGGGCUUAACUCCGGGCCUGCAGCCGAUACGGGCAGACUAGAGUUCGGCAGGGGAGACUGGAAUUCCUGGUGUAGCGGUGAAAUGCGCAGAUAUCAGGAGGAACACCGGUGGCGAAGGCGGGUCUCUGGGCCGAUACUGACGCUGAGGAGCGAAAGCGUGGGGAGCGAACAGG
This 253-nucleotide ribosomal RNA is filed under the name uncultured bacterium. RNAcentral describes it as "partial 16S ribosomal RNA". It matches the Rfam family "Bacterial small subunit ribosomal RNA", at positions 524 to 776 of the family's 1533-position model. The record is from RNAcentral.